This 79-nucleotide transfer RNA is filed under the name Pseudomonadota bacterium. RNAcentral's name for it is "tRNA-Ile". It matches the Rfam family "tRNA". From Rfam's summary of the family: Transfer RNA (tRNA) molecules are approximately 80 nucleotides in length. Their secondary structure includes four short double-helical elements and three loops (D, anti-codon, and T loops). The record is from RNAcentral. Lineage: Bacteria; Pseudomonadati; Pseudomonadota. RNAcentral also lists the same sequence under 1 other name.
GGCCCCCUAGCUCAUGCUUGGUUAGAGCAGCGGACUCAUAAUCCGUUGGUACUGUGUUCGACUCACAGGGGGGCCACCA